GGGCGAGUGGUGGAACGGUAGACACGCACGGUUCAGAGCCGUGUGGGAGCAAUCCCAUGAGGGUUCAAGUCCCUCCUCGCCCA
RNAcentral lists this transfer RNA (83 nucleotides) under bacterium. RNAcentral's name for it is "tRNA-Leu". It matches the Rfam family "tRNA". From Rfam's summary of the family: Transfer RNA (tRNA) molecules are approximately 80 nucleotides in length. The record is from RNAcentral.